UUGCGGCCAUAUUUCCUUAAAACACUGGUUCUCGUACGAGCAGCAAAGUUAAGCAACGUCAAUCCUGGUCAGUACUUAGAUGGAUGACCGCUUGGAUAUAACAGGUACUGUAGG
Non-coding RNA from Acanthosepion pharaonis, 114 nucleotides. NCBI's taxonomy places the organism in Eukaryota, Metazoa, Mollusca, Cephalopoda, Sepiida, Sepiidae. The record is from the annotation of a GenBank genome assembly.